RNAcentral lists this ribosomal RNA (384 nucleotides) under uncultured bacterium. RNAcentral describes it as "bacterial SSU rRNA". It matches the Rfam family "Bacterial small subunit ribosomal RNA", at positions 30 to 416 of the family's 1533-position model. The record is from RNAcentral.
AUUGAACGCUGGCGGCAUGCCUUACACAUGCAAGUCGAACGGUAACGGGCCUUCGGGUGCCGACGAGUGGCGAACGGGUGAGUAAUGCAUCGGAACGUACCUUUCAGUGGGGGAUAACGUAGCGAAAGUUACGCUAAUACCGCAUAUUCUGUGAGCAGGAAAGCAGGGGAUCGCAAGACCUUGCGUUCUGGGAGCGGCCGAUGUCGGAUUAGCUAGUUGGUGGGGUAAAAGCCUACCAAGGCGACGAUCCGUAGCGGGUCUGAGAGGAUGAUCCGCCACACUGGGACUGAGACACGGCCCAGACUCCUACGGGAGGCAGCAGUGGGGAAUUUUGGACAAUGGGCGGAAGCCUGAUCCAGCCAUGCCGCGUGAGUGAAGAAGGCC